GCCGGGCGCGGUGGCACGCACCUGUAGUCCCAGCUACUCAGGAGGCUGAGGCCAGAGGAUCACUUGAGUCCAGGAGAUAGGGGCUGUCAUGCGCUAUGCUGAUCGGGUGUCCGCACUAAGUUCGGCAUCAAUAUGGUGACCUCCCGGGAGCGGGGGACCACCAGGUUGCCUAAGGAGGGGUGAAUCGGCCCAGGUCGGAAACGGAGCAGGUCAAAACUCCUGUGCUGAUCUGAAAUGUGGGCUAAUUCAAUGAGUACCUUUUGCAUUCUAUGGGUCUCUC
Oryctolagus cuniculus (rabbit) is the source of this 280-nucleotide unclassified non-coding RNA. It matches the Rfam family "Metazoan signal recognition particle RNA". From Rfam's summary of the family: The signal recognition particle (SRP) is a universally conserved ribonucleoprotein. The record is from Ensembl. NCBI's taxonomy places the organism in Eukaryota, Metazoa, Chordata, Mammalia, Lagomorpha, Leporidae.